RNAcentral lists this ribosomal RNA (253 nucleotides) under uncultured bacterium. RNAcentral's name for it is "partial 16S ribosomal RNA". It matches the Rfam family "Bacterial small subunit ribosomal RNA", at positions 524 to 776 of the family's 1533-position model. The record is from RNAcentral.
UACAGAGGAUGCAAGCGUUAUUCGGAAUCAUUGGGCGUAAAGCGCGCGCAGGCGGAUCAGCAAGUCAGAUGUGAAAUCUCGAAGCUCAACUUCGAAACUGCGUCUGAAACUGCUAGUCUAGAAUGUCGGAAGGGGCAGGGGAAUUUCACGUGUAGGGGUAAAAUCCGUAGAGAUGUGAAGGAACACCGGGGGCGAAGGCGCCUGCCUGGACGACUAUUGACGCUGAGGCGCGAAAGCGUGGGGAGCAAACAGG